GCGGACGAUCAUCAACAUUCCCGUCAUGCGCAUGCGCAGUUCUAAUAUUUUGAUAUCGCCGUCAAACAUGGAUGUAUUAUAAGCUGUUAAAGAGCGUAAUCAGAUCUCCACACAACAUGCCUUGAAUACCAGCGACGCGCUCUUGCGUUCUUGGUAGGUGAAACAAACAAGUAAACAAAUGAACAAUCAAAUAAUUAAAAAAACAGCAGACGAAGCCUUAACACCGUAUCGAUCACAGCCACUCGUGUGGUACUGUUGUGUCGCCACGGUUACUGGAUUAAAUAGGGGUAGCGGGAGAACCGAGUCUCCCGGUUAACGGGGAUGCCACGGCUGAACAAGACCGGCCUCCUCGCGGUCCUGGUAGCGGCGAGCUCCGCCUUCCUGCUCUUCCAACUCUACUACUACCGCCAGUCAUCGAAUGGAGGAAACACUUCACGGCAGAAAGACAAUCAAUGGGAAGCGCUGAGGCGUGUGAUGGCUGUGGCCCGCAAGCUGGCCCUGCCCAUCUUCCUGGCCGACCCAACAGCGCUGUCUCUGAUUGGCCAGACGGGCGGAUCGGCGGGCCUCGGGCGUGGCUGUAGCUUCCUGUGCACCGGGAGGCCGGUCACUGCCUUCGCCGCCAUCGCCGACCACUGGAAGUACGAUCGGCAGGCUGUUGCCACGGUAGCCAGUCAGAAGGGCCUGGAGGUGGAGCAGGUGCGCGGCCGUGACCCCCGGCUGCUUGAGGAAGGGGCAGAGCUGUCGGCAGCCCAGAUCCCUCUGCACUUCCUGUUCCGCUCAACCCAUGGCCACAUCGUCCAGGUGGUGUUGCUCUACCAGAGGAGUGGGGGCUAUCUGUGGCACGCCCCCCUGCGGUUAGCACCCAGCGCAGACCGCCGCCUGGCCCCACCCAACGCCCUGCCCUACGGACGCCACGCCGGGGCCUAUCGCAGGCCAGAUCUGGUGCUAACGAUGCUGGAUGGACUGGAUGUACAGGUUCCACGAAACUCCUCCCACUUCCUGACCCUACGAAGCGAAGCGGACUUCAUAGAGUGCCGCCACAAAGAGGCCCGAGCCUUCUACCAGUCUCCUUCAGGCUCUCUGGGUGUGUGUUGCUGGAGGCCCCUGAUGGGGCUAGUGAGCAACAGCAUGGGGGCGAGCACUCUGCCGGGGACGGACAUGUCCUGGUUAUCUUUGGGACCUGUACUGGCCUGCUGGGAUGGCUGGAACGACUUCUUCAAAGAUCCCAUUUCAUGCUUUUUUAGGGCCCGCCUCCAGAGUAUCCCAGUCUGCUGUGAUUGGUCGAACACUUUGCGUGCGUUUCGACAAAGGACUUCUGCCCUUCAGCUCCGCCCACUGGCACAGUCUGACGGCACAUUGUUACGGAACUCUACCCUGAAGACGGCUCUGUGGAGGCAGCAGAGUUCCGGCGGGCGGCUCGCUCCGUGCUGUCGGUCGCCGCCCGGACCCUGGACUCCCUUAACGUCCCCUUCUGGAUCAGCAGCGGGACCUGCCUCGGAUGGUACCGUCAGUGUGGGUUCAUCUCAUACAGUCGUGAUGUUGACGUGGGCGUGUCCAUCCGUCACUACCGCCCCGACCUAGCCACCGCCUUUGCUAGCGCCGGCCUGCCCCUCAAACACAGCUUUGGCAGGGUAGAGGACAGUCUGGAGCUGUCCUUCCAGUCUCCGGGGGGCGGUGUGAAGCUGGACGUCUUCUUCUUCUACCAGGAGGAGAGCGAGGGAGUGAGCGUCGUCUGGAACGGCGGCACGCAGGCCAAGAGCGGCAGGAAGUUCAAGUAUGUGUUUCCUAGUUUUAAACUCUGCUGGGCGGAGCUGGCGGGCGUGCGUGUGCGUGUUCCGUGCACGACCCUGGACUAUGUGCGCGCCAACUACGGGCACGAGGCGUGGUCGUCCCCGGAGACCGCCUGGGACUGGAAGACCUCGCCCGCCAACGUGAUGGAGAACGGAGUCUGGCCCCGGGGGGACUGGGGCCAGGUCAUCCAGUCCUACUGAGAUACACGGCGUCAGAUACACUUCAUCACACUGCAUCGGUUACACUGCGACAUACUGCCUCGUAAUGACUCGGAUAUACUGACUCAGUGACUCAGACACACUGACUCAUACUGACUCAGACAUACUGACUCACACCGACUCAGGUAUAUUGACUCACUGACUCAGAUAUACUGACUCACAAUGACUCAGGUACAGUAUAUUGACUCACUGACUCAGAUAUUCUGAGUCUUACUGACUCAGACAUACUGACUCAGACAUACCAGCUCAGACUGACUCAUACUAACGCAGUAUUAUAACCAACUAUGCCAGACAUGCUGUCAUGUUCCAUCAAAGCCAACAGGACCUUGCUAAAACAUUUUUAACAGUAUUUGCCGGUGUCAGCCGGACUAUAUUACAGAUAAUUUCCUCCAUCAAUGCUACUGGUGUGGGCACAACUGUUUACUACUUUGUUAAAACGUUACUGUAAAGUAUCAUUGAAAAAUACUUUUCAUGUCUUUAAUUUUUUGUUUUUGCCUUUAUGCUGCUGGCAAUGUGAGCUGUUCUGACGUGUUUUGUUUCAUCUUAUUAAUGCCAUCCACAACAAUCAUUUGUUUUGCCCCAUGCUAACGAUUACUAUCACUUCAAGCAUAAAUGUUCUUACAAAACCGACUGUUUUAGUUUUCAUUGAAUAAUAAAGUUCAGACAAAACAUUGUUCAAACA
Molecule: RNA transcript, 2691 nt
Organism: Gadus morhua (Atlantic cod)
Lineage: Eukaryota; Metazoa; Chordata; Actinopteri; Gadiformes; Gadidae
Gene: fktn
Gene name: fukutin
Exons: 12
Source: RefSeq, a predicted model, not a curated record